GGUUCGUUCAGUUGUUUAGAGCAUGGCGCUGAUAACGCCAAGGUUGCAGGUUCGAUCCCCGUAUGGGAUG
Non-coding RNA from Podarcis lilfordi (Lilford's wall lizard), 70 nucleotides. Lineage: Eukaryota; Metazoa; Chordata; Lepidosauria; Squamata; Lacertidae. The record is from the annotation of a GenBank genome assembly.